RNAcentral lists this ribosomal RNA (31 nucleotides) under Erysiphe quercicola. RNAcentral's name for it is "partial 28S ribosomal RNA". The record is from RNAcentral. Lineage: Eukaryota; Fungi; Ascomycota; Leotiomycetes; Helotiales; Erysiphaceae.
UGACCUCGAAUCAGGUAGGAAUACCCGCUGA